This 1108-nucleotide ribosomal RNA is filed under the name uncultured bacterium. Its description in RNAcentral is "bacterial SSU rRNA". It matches the Rfam family "Bacterial small subunit ribosomal RNA", at positions 8 to 1104 of the family's 1533-position model. The record is from RNAcentral.
AGAGUUUGAUCAUGGCUCAGAUUGAACGCUGGCGGCAGGCUUAACACAUGCAAGUCGAGCGGUAACAGAGAGUAGCUUGCUACUCUGCUGACGAGCGGCGGACGGGUGAGUAAUACUUGGGAAUCUGCCUUUUGGAGGGGGAUAACCACUGGAAACGGUGGCUAAUACCGCAUAAUGCUUUCGAGCCAAAGCGGGGGAUCUUCGGACCUCGCGCCAUUAGAUGAGCCCAAGCAAGAUUAGGUAGUUGGUGGGGUAAAGGCCUACCAAGCCGACGAUCUUUAGCUGGUCUGAGAGGAUGAUCAGCCACACUGGGACUGAGACACGGCCCAGACUCCUACGGGAGGCAGCAGUGGGGAAUAUUGGACAAUGGGCGCAAGCCUGAUCCAGCCAUGCCGCGUGUGUGAAGAAGGCCUUCGGGUUGUAAAGCACUUUCAGUGGUGAGGAAGGCCUAAUAGUUAAUAGCUAUUAGGAUUGACGCUAGCCACAGAAGAAGCACCGGCUAACUCCGUGCCAGCAGCCGCGGUAAUACGGAGGGUGCGAGCGUUAAUCGGAAUUACUGGGCGUAAAGCGCACGUAGGCGGUUUGUUAAGCUAGAUGUGAAAGCCCCGGGCUUAACCUGGGAAUUGCAUUUAGAACUGGCAGGCUAGAGUUUUGAAGAGGGUGGUAGAAUUUCCAGUGUAGCGGUGAAAUGCGUAGAUAUUGGAAGGAAUAUCAGUGGCGAAGGCGGCCACCUGGUCAAAAACUGACGCUGAGGAGCGAAAGCGUGGGGAGCAAACAGGAUUAGAUACCCUGGUAGUCCACGCUGUAAACGAUGUCGACUAGUUGUUCGUGUCAUAAACGAUGUGAGUAACGCAGCUAACGCACUAAGUCGACCGCCUGGGGAGUACGGCCGCAAGGUUAAAACUCAAAUGAAUUGACGGGGGCCCGCACAAGCGGUGGAGCAUGUGGUUUAAUUCGAUGCAACGCGAAGAACCUUACCAUCCCUUGACAUCCAGUGAAUCUUUUAGAGAUAGAAGAGUGCCUUCGGGAGCACUGAGACAGGUGCUGCAUGGCUGUCGUCAGCUCGUGUUGUGAGAUGUUGGGUUAAGUCCCGCAACGAGCGCAACCC